UCCUCGAUGUCCAGUGUCCACGCACCUCC
RNAcentral lists this non-coding RNA (29 nucleotides) under Mus musculus (house mouse). The record is from RNAcentral. Lineage: Eukaryota; Metazoa; Chordata; Mammalia; Rodentia; Muridae.